This is a long non-coding RNA of Phocoena sinus (vaquita), 2286 nucleotides long. NCBI's taxonomy places the organism in Eukaryota, Metazoa, Chordata, Mammalia, Artiodactyla, Phocoenidae. The record is from Ensembl.
AGCAAUAGUUCUAGUGAAUGUGUGAAACCAAGAAACACUCUGUACUGUGUGUGGACCCGCAGUGACGGCCAGUAAAGUGGACUUAACUCCCAAGUGUGUCGAGCCGGACACCGGGCCCUGAACAUGCUGCUUCCAUGUUCAGUCCCUCCCCUGCUUUUCACUUUCUCUCUCUCAAUCCCUCCCCCCUGCCCCCUUUUCAGAUUUUCUCUCAUCCAAUAAUGUAAAACUGUUGUGUACGGGUUCCUCCAUCCUUUUCCCCCAAAUCUUUUUUCCCUUCAAAGGAAAAAGAAGUUCAGAGGUCCCUGUCUUUCUCUCUGUCCUCAUCUUCCUGCCAAUAGCUAGUCCCUCUAUAAUGUUGGAUACUCCUCAAAUGCUGAGUUUCUAGCCUUUUCUGAAACUUAGCGAACUGGGGAGAUGGCAGGGAGGCACCCUGAACCCUGGGCCUUCCAGCCUCCUUCCCCACCUCUUACCCAAACCUCCUUCUUGGGAACUCCUCAGGGACAACUACUGCUGAGUUUGGGCACACCCCCAAGAUGGAGGCCAGGUAGCAAUCGACUGGCCUGAGAGAGAGAGAGGUGUGUGUGUGUGUGAGAGAGUGAGUGAGUGAGAGGAUGCUGUGAUUGUGCCCCUGUUUUGUUUGGUGGCAUCCAUUCAGUUUUUCCCCCACGUAUCUGUUUCCCAUUGUUUCCAACCAUUGAAACACCUUUCCCAUUGUUUCACACCAUCACUUUGUCUUUGGGAAACCACAGGAACAGUUUUUCUGGGUACAAGGCUGUGUCUCUCCCCUCUCUCCCAGUCAUUUCUGUUCCAGCCUCUUCAAACUGUGCAAUCUUUCAGCAGGAACUCCCUCUCCUUUCAGUAGCUCUGAGUCUUAAGCUUUUGCAGGGAGAGGAGUAGAACUGGAUCUCUUCCUAAUCCCAUGAGCUUCUGUGGGUUUAGUAGUGCUUUCCUUCCCUUAUCUACUUCAUAUCCUGGGACCCCUUCCCCAGUAGCAGAGACCCCAGAACACAGGAGAGUAGGGAGGAGAGGUUCUGGGUCCACCACUGCCCUACAUGUGACUGUGCCCAAGUUAAGCCCCAACCUGUGAGAGGAAAGCUGCUAACUCCCAGCUAUAGCCAUGGGCCCCUGGCCCCUGCUUUCCUGCUCAGCAGAGCCCCUCCCAUCAGAGAUUACGGGUACUUGCACUGGGGAGGUGGCUGCUGGCUGGCCCAAGCAGAGCGCUGAGGCACCCAAGAAGUGUUCCAUUGGUGGGAGGGGGUGCCAGGUGAGGGGAGCAUUCCUUGUGCUUCUGGCAGCACUGAAUAGCCACUGAAGGGGGUGAGGGGGCAGUACAGGUCCCGGGGCAGCCCCUUUCUUAUUCCUUUAUGCCCCUUCUCCCCCAUGGCCUAUUUCUAAAGUCGCCUUUUCUGUCAGAUAAACCUCAGAACUUUUAAUUUUAUUUGAGAUUUUUUUUUUUGCUUUUAAAUAAGAGGUGGAUUGAAGAAUAUUUGAAUUGACUUUAUAUUAUGCAUAAAUAUUUAUAUUUUAUCUAAAUAACUGCGCUGUAACAAACUUUGUGUUAGUCAGACAUUUGGAACUGUUGUAGUUGGGGGCUCUUCUUUUCCCCAUGGCAGUCUUACCCUGCUAUAAAAUGUUCCAGAUUAAUUCUACUGUUGGAGGUUAGGUGGACGGGGGAGUGAAAUCUUGAUUGUUCCUGUUCUGUGUUCCUCUCCCAGCUCCAUCUCUUUCCCUAGGGACCAGGCACUCUUAAGGUGGGGUGGGUGGAGUCCUAGCCUCAAUUUGAAGUGAGGGUUGAUGGGGGGCGGGGGGAGGGCAUGACCAAAGGGGCCGUUUCUCACUUUCCUUUCCUCAUCUUCACUCUGCCCCUUGAGCUAGGUGGAUUUUCUCUUUUUGACAAAUAAGAGUAUUUGGUAGGGAAGGCAAGUUAAAAAAGUAAAUAAAACCCACCCCUACCCCUUUGUUUCCCCUCGCCUAUCAGUCUGGAAACAGGAAGAAACCACACCAUCAACACCAACAAAUUUCCACGUUCCUUUUACAACAAAAGGGACUUGACUUUUUAUAUAACCAAAUGUGGUGUUUUAGUGACUUUUUGAUAAUGUACAGUUUUUUGUGAAUUUAAAUUUAUUUCUUUCUAUAUUUUUAGGACCAAUCUCAUUUUUAAUAAGGUAAAAAAAGGAAAAAAAAGUCUAGAGAAAAAAACUCCUGUUUUUGCCAUGUGAUGUUCCACAAGUGCAGCUGUAGAAAAGUGCUUGUCAGUUGAAUAAAAACCACAUUUGAUAGAGAUUC